Molecule: non-coding RNA, 21 nt
Filed under: Mus musculus (house mouse)
Lineage: Eukaryota; Metazoa; Chordata; Mammalia; Rodentia; Muridae
Source: RNAcentral
GUUAUAGUGUGUGUGUUGUGU